UACGUAGGGCGCAAGCGUUGUCCGGAAUUAUUGGGCGUAAAGAGCUCGUAGGCGGCUUGUCACGUCGGGUGUGAAAGCCCGGGGCUUAACCCCGGGUCUGCAUUCGAUACGGGCUAGCUAGAGUGUGGUAGGGGAGAUCGGAAUUCCUGGUGUAGCGGUGAAAUGCGCAGAUAUCAGGAGGAACACCGGUGGCGAAGGCGGAUCUCUGGGACGGUACUGACGCUGAGACGCGAAAGCGUGGGGAGCAAACAGG
This 253-nucleotide ribosomal RNA is filed under the name uncultured bacterium. Its description in RNAcentral is "partial 16S ribosomal RNA". It matches the Rfam family "Bacterial small subunit ribosomal RNA", at positions 524 to 776 of the family's 1533-position model. The record is from RNAcentral.